This 460-nucleotide ribosomal RNA is filed under the name uncultured bacterium. RNAcentral describes it as "partial 16S ribosomal RNA". It matches the Rfam family "Bacterial small subunit ribosomal RNA", at positions 338 to 795 of the family's 1533-position model. The record is from RNAcentral.
CCUACGGGAGGCAGCAGUGAGGAAUAUUGGUCAAUGGACGAGAGUCUGAACCAGCCAAGUAGCGUGAAGGAUGACUGCCCUAUGGGUUGUAAACUUCUUUUAUAUGGGAAUAAAAUGUUCCACGUGUGGGAUUUUGUAUGUACCAUAUGAAUAAGGAUCGGCUAACUCCGUGCCAGCAGCCGCGGUAAUACGGAGGAUCCGAGCGUUAUCCGGAUUUCUUGGGUUUAAAGGGAGCGUAGGUGGAUUGUUAAGUCAGUUGUGAAAGUUUGCGGCUCAACCGUAAAAUUGCAGUUGAUACUGGCAGUCUUGAGUACAGUAGAGGUGGGCGGAAUUCGUGGUGUAGCGGUGAAAUGCUUAGAUAUCACGAAGAACUCCGAUUGCGAAGGCAGCUCACUGGACUGCAACUGACACUGAGGCUCGAAAGUGUGGGUAUCAAACAGGAUUAGAUACCCCGGUAGUC